Vitis riparia (riverbank grape) is the source of this 640-nucleotide long non-coding RNA. RefSeq lists it as uncharacterized. The record is from RefSeq and is a predicted model, not a curated record. The transcript is spliced from 2 exons. Lineage: Eukaryota; Viridiplantae; Streptophyta; Magnoliopsida; Vitales; Vitaceae.
UUUGGUAGGUGUUUUUUGUUAAUACAUUUAUUUUAUUUGCCUGUCAAAAAAAUAAAAUAAAAUUGAAGAGUAGUUAAUCAGAAAGCAUUGGAGUUGUUUGGAAGAGACUUAGGGUUCUAAGAAUCACCUUGUCAAGUUUGCUUCAAUCGUCAGUAUUAGCAGUACUAUUGGUUUGCAUCAGUUUUAUUGUAAGUAAUCAUUUGUGGAAUCAUUUUCUGCUUCACAGGUCCCUCUAAACAAUAUGUUUGGGUACUCAACAUCACUUCGUUCAAUGACUCAGGGGAAAGGUGAAUUCAUAAUGGAAUACAAAGAGCAUUCACCGGUUUCUCAAGAUGUGCAGCUGCAAUUAGUGAACACCUACAAGGCCAAUAAGGCAGCUGAAAAUAGUUAGGAUUCUGCUGUGACUUUUUGAGAAACACGUCCCUACAUUCAUAGUGUAAGCCAUCUCUUAUUUUUUUAUAUUUAUCCGGGCCAAAAGUGUUCUGGUCUCUAAAUUUUGACAAGCCAAAUAAUUGUUACCUACAUUCUUUAAUACAAAUAAUGUAUGAAAUCACUGUACUUUAAACAGGUAUUCAUCACAGUCAAAUUGUCUUAAAAAGGAUAAAAGGGCUAUGCAAUUUUCAUCUCCUUCUCUCUCAAA